AGAGUUUGAUCCUGGCUCAGGACGAACGCUGGCGGCGUGCUUAACACAUGCAAGUCGUGCGAGAAAUCAGGUGUCCGCAAGGACACCCGGUGGAAAGCGGCAAACGGGUGAGUAACACGUGGGUAAUAUGCCUAUCAGUGAAGGAUAGCUUCGGGAAACUGGGGGUAAUACUUCAUACAAUUAUUCGUAGUAUCUAUAAAUAAUGAAAGGAUUCGUUCUGCUGAUAGAUUAGCCUGCGGCUCAUUAGCUUGUUGGUAGGGUAAUGGCCUACCAAGGCAAAGAUGAGUAGCCGACCUGAAAGGGUGAUCGGCCACACUGGAACUGAGACACGGUCCAGACUCCUACGGGAGGCAGCAGUGGGGAAUCUUGCGCAAUGGGCGGAAGCCUGACGCAGCAACGCCGCGUGGAGGACGAAAUCCUUAGGGAUUUAAACUCCUUUUUUGAGGGAAGAAAUGCCUGUUUAUCAGGAGCUGACGGUACCUCAAGAAUAAGCACCGGCUAACUCCGUGCCAGCAGCCGCGGUAAUACGGAGGGUGCAAGCGUUGUCCGGAAUUACUAGGCGUAAAGCGUACGUAGGCGUUUUUGUAAGUCGGUUGUUAAAUACUUUCGCUCAACGGGAGGAGGUCAACCGAAACUGCGGAAAUUGAGAAUAGUAGAGGAGAGCGGAAUUCCUGGAGAAGCGGUGAAAUGCGUAGAUUUCAGGAAGAACGCCAAUGGUGAAGACAGCUCUCUGGGCUAUUUCUGACGCUCAAGUACGAAAGCCAGGGGAGCAAACGGGAUUAGAUACCCCGGUAGUCCUGGCCGUAAACGAUGGACACUAGGUGUCGGGUAACAACUCGGUACCGUAGCUAACGCGUUAAGUGUCCCGCCUGGGGAGUACGGCCGCAAGGCUGAAACUCAAAGGAAUUGACGGGGGCCCGCACAAGCGGUGGAGCACGUGGUUUAAUUCGAUCUAACCGAAGGACCUUACCUGGACUUGACAUGCUGAUCUGUACUUUGACUGAAAGGUCGAGGGACCCUUUUAACAGAGGGAAGUCAGCACAGGUGCUGCAUGGCUGUCGUCAGCUCGUGUCGUGAGAUGUUGGGUUAAGUCCCGCAACGAGCGCAACCCCUAUCCUUAGUUACCAGCGGGUAAUGCCGGGGACUCUAGGGAAACUGCCCAGAACAACUGGGAGGAAGGUGGGGACGACGUCAAGUCAUCAUGGCCCUUAUGUCCAGGGCUACACACGUGCUACAAUGGCCGGUACAAAAGGCAGCUAAUCCGCAAGGACAAGCAAAUCCCAAAAACCGGUCCCAGUUCGGAUGGCAGGCUGAAACUCGCCUGCAUGAAGUUGGAAUCGCUAGUAAUCGUGGGUCAGCUAAACCACGGUGAAUACGUUCCCGGGCCUUGUACACACCGCCCGUCACACCACGAAAGUUAGCUGUACCAGAAGUCGUUGAGCUAAUCCGCAA
RNAcentral lists this ribosomal RNA (1452 nucleotides) under metagenome. Its description in RNAcentral is "bacterial SSU rRNA". It matches the Rfam family "Bacterial small subunit ribosomal RNA". The record is from RNAcentral.